UACGUAGGGGGCAAGCGUUGUCCGGAUUUACUGGGCGUAAAGGGUAUGCAGGCGGGUUUUUAAGUAGAAAGUGAAAGGUUGGAGCUCAACUCCGACACUGCGUUCUAUACUGGGAGCCUUGAGUGCUGGAGAGGAAGAGGGAACUGCACGUGUAGCGGUGAUAUGCGUUGAGAUGUGCAGGAACACCAAUGGCGAAAGCACUCUUCUGGACGGUUACUGACGCUGAGAUACGAAAGCCAAGGGAGCGAACAGG
Molecule: ribosomal RNA, 253 nt
Filed under: uncultured bacterium
Lineage: Bacteria
Description: partial 16S ribosomal RNA
Rfam family: Bacterial small subunit ribosomal RNA
Source: RNAcentral